Molecule: ribosomal RNA, 460 nt
Filed under: uncultured bacterium
Lineage: Bacteria
Description: partial 16S ribosomal RNA
Rfam family: Bacterial small subunit ribosomal RNA
Source: RNAcentral
CCUACGGGGGGCAGCAGUGAGGAAUAUUGGUCAAUGGACGAGAGUCUGAACCAGCCAAGUAGCGUGAAGGAUGACUGCCCUAUGGGUUGUAAACUUCUUUUAUAUGGGAAUAAACUGUUCCACGUGUGGGAUUUUGUAUGUACCAUAUGAAUAAGGAUCGGCUAACUCCGUGCCAGCAGCCGCGGUAAUACGGAGGAUCCGAGCGUUAUCCGGAUUUAUUGGGUUUAAAGGGAGCGUAGGUGGAUGGUUAAGUCAGUUGUGAAAGUUUGCGGCUCAACUGUAAAAUUGCAGUUGAAACUGGCAGUCUUGAGUACAGUAGAGGUGGGCGGAAUUCGUGGUGUAGCGGUGAAAUGCUUAGAUAUCACGAAGAACUCCGAUUGCGAAGGCAGUUCACUGGACUGCAACUGACACUGAGGCUCGAAAGUGUGGGUAUCAAACAGGAUUAGAUACCCUUGUAGUC